AGUGGAAUCACCCGGAAAGGUUUCCACGUUCUUGGGCUCACGCUCCACCCCAGGAAACUCUGAUUCCUAGUGGCCCUUCCCUGUCUGAGUCAACCAUGGUCUGGAAUCAAAUGGUUCUACUGCUGAGAAAUCAUCAGAAGGUCUAUAGUAACCUAGGGAAAUGUCCCAAAGGCCUGUGCCUGCGUUAUUCACCUCACUUCAUCUCAUCAUGUGAGCACUUUAUUAUCCCUCAUCAUUACAAGGGAACAGAUCUGGACGGAAGGGUUUUACUCCAUUGGAAUUCUCUACUCUGAAAAUCUUCUCUGGUCGGAUGAGAAUAAUUCAGAUUACAAGAAAGAAUACAGCAUGAAACAAUUUUAGCAGCAGCCAGACUCCUGAAUUGGUUCACCCACCCUGGAUGGGUGGUACCCAGUGAGAAAAUGGCAGAACCCAGGCCAGCACUGAAUAGAAUGAAUAAGCCACCAGGUUGGACAUACUCACAGCCUCCAAAUCAGCUAUUGCCCACGGACGUGUUUUCUUGGGUUCCCACAGUAUUCUCGACAAAACAAUGCAUACAGUCUUCUCACAGUUUACUCUGUGCCUUCUACUCACUAAUGCUUCACACAGUUCUGCUUCCACAACCUUGACGUUCUUCAUGAUUUCCUCACUGAUAUCAGGAAACACACUGAUGAAGGAAACCCACAGAGGAGAUUUGUUCAACUCAAGAAGCACUUGUUGAAAACUGAUUUGUUCAUCUCAAGAACAAAUGUUGUCAGUUGGAAACCGACAAGCGUGUAGUGCUGGAGAA
Hyaena hyaena (striped hyena) is the source of this 787-nucleotide long non-coding RNA. RefSeq lists it as uncharacterized. NCBI's taxonomy places the organism in Eukaryota, Metazoa, Chordata, Mammalia, Carnivora, Hyaenidae. The transcript is spliced from 4 exons. The record is from RefSeq and is a predicted model, not a curated record.